UACGUAGGGGGCGAGCGUUGUCCGGAAUUAUUGGGCGUAAAGAGCGUGUAGGCGGUUCGGUAAGUCUGCCGUGAAAUCCUGGGGCUCAACCCCGGGCGUGCGGUGGAUACUGCCGGGCUAGAGGGUGGUAGAGGCGAGUGGAAUUCCUGGUGUAGCGGUGAAAUGCGCAGAUAUCAGGAAGAACACCCGUGGCGAAGGCGGCUCUCUGGGACGGUACUGACGCUGAGACGCGAAAGCGUGGGGAGCGAACAGG
RNAcentral lists this ribosomal RNA (253 nucleotides) under uncultured bacterium. RNAcentral describes it as "partial 16S ribosomal RNA". It matches the Rfam family "Bacterial small subunit ribosomal RNA", at positions 524 to 776 of the family's 1533-position model. The record is from RNAcentral.